This 65-nucleotide microRNA precursor is filed under the name Caenorhabditis briggsae. RNAcentral describes it as "Cbr-Mir-230_pre stem-loop". It matches the Rfam family "mir-230 microRNA precursor family", at positions 17 to 81 of the family's 82-position model. The record is from RNAcentral. Lineage: Eukaryota; Metazoa; Nematoda; Chromadorea; Rhabditida; Rhabditidae.
ACUUGGUCGACAAUUUAAUAGUAUCUGAUUAAUUGAUGGAUAGUAUUAGUUGUGCGACCAGGAAA